UACGUAGGGUGCGAGCGUUGCCCGGAUUUAUUGGGCGUAAAGGGCGCGUAGGCGGUGAGAUGCGUCCGUUGUGAAAUCGCCCGGCUCAACUGGGCGGGGUCAGCGGAUACGGUCUCACUUGAGCAAGCUAGGGGGCAAUGGAAUUCCCGGUGUAGUGGUGGAAUGCGUAGAUAUCGGGAGGAACACCAGUGGCGAAGGCGGUUGCCUGGGGCUUUUCUGACGCUGAUGCGCGAAAGCGUGGGGAGCGAGCCGG
RNAcentral lists this ribosomal RNA (253 nucleotides) under uncultured bacterium. RNAcentral's name for it is "partial 16S ribosomal RNA". It matches the Rfam family "Bacterial small subunit ribosomal RNA", at positions 524 to 776 of the family's 1533-position model. The record is from RNAcentral.